GACGCGCCGUGUAUCACGCACGCUAUCUUCGCACGACCGCACCGUUCGCCCGCCGAACUUUCGAUCGUGAUUUUUAUCGCGCCACGUUUUACGCGCGUUACCGGAGUACCGCGACACCGCUCCGGACAGUGCCGACAUUCGACCACCCGUCAACGAUAAUGCGGUUAAACGCCACGCGAUCCGGACCCCCGAGGCCAGCGCGCGUUUGAACCCGUCGAAUACUUAGCCGUGUGUGUUUUUUUUUUUA
Non-coding RNA from Cinara cedri, 247 nucleotides. NCBI's taxonomy places the organism in Eukaryota, Metazoa, Arthropoda, Insecta, Hemiptera, Aphididae. The record is from the annotation of a GenBank genome assembly.